This 736-nucleotide ribosomal RNA is filed under the name uncultured Atopobium sp. RNAcentral describes it as "bacterial SSU rRNA". It matches the Rfam family "Bacterial small subunit ribosomal RNA", at positions 28 to 776 of the family's 1533-position model. Lineage: Bacteria; Bacillati; Actinomycetota; Coriobacteriia; Coriobacteriales; Atopobiaceae. The record is from RNAcentral.
GAUGAACGCUGGCGGCGCGCCUAACACAUGCAAGUCGAACGGUUAAAGCACCUUUUAGGUGUGUAUAAAGUGGCGAACGGCUGAGUAACACGUGGGCAACCUGCCCUCCUCUUGGGGAUAGCCUCGGGAAACCGAGGAUAAUACCCGAUACUUCAAUGUGGCCGCAUGACGACAUUGAGAAAGCUUUUGCGGAGAAGGAUGGGCCCGCGGCCUGUUAGCUUGUUGGUGGGGUAGAGGCCUACUAAGGCAAUGAUGGGUAGCUGGGUUGAGAGACCGACCAGCCAGAUUGGGACUGAGACACGGCCCAGACUCCUACGGGAGGCAGCAGUGGGGAAUCUUGCACAAUGGGCGAAAGCCUGAUGCAGCGACGCCGCGUGCGGGACGAAGGCCUUCGGGUUGUAAACCGCUUUCAGCAGGGACGAGGCGAAAGUGACGGUACCUGCAGAAGAAGCCCCGGCUAACUACGUGCCAGCAGCCGCGGUAAUACGUAGGGGGCAAGCGUUAUCCGGAUUCAUUGGGCGUAAAGCGCUCGUAGGCGGUCUGUUAGGUCGGGAGUUAAAUCCGGAGGCUCAACCUCCGCCCGCUCCCGAUACCGGCAGACUUGAGUUUGGUAGGGGAAGGUGGGAUUCCUAGUGUAGCGGUGGAAUGCGCAGAUAUUAGGAAGAACACCAGUGGCGAAGGCGGCCUUCUGGGCCAUAACUGACGCUGAGGAGCGAAAGCUAGGGGAGCAAACAGG